UCCGGGGUAGCUCAGCGGCAGAGCAAUCGACUGUUAAUCGAUCGGCCGCAGGUUCGAAUCCUGCCCCCGGAG
RNAcentral lists this transfer RNA (72 nucleotides) under Microbacterium oxydans. RNAcentral describes it as "tRNA-Asn". It matches the Rfam family "tRNA". Rfam says of the family: Transfer RNA (tRNA) molecules are approximately 80 nucleotides in length. Their secondary structure includes four short double-helical elements and three loops (D, anti-codon, and T loops). Further hydrogen bonds mediate the characteristic L-shaped molecular structure. tRNAs have two regions of fundamental functional importance: the anti-codon, which is responsible for specific mRNA codon recognition, and the 3' end, to which the tRNAs corresponding amino acid is attached (by aminoacyl-tRNA synthetases). tRNAs cope with the degeneracy of the genetic code in two manners: having more than one tRNA (with a specific anti-codon) for a particular amino acid; and 'wobble' base-pairing, i.e. permitting non-standard base-pairing at the 3rd anti-codon position. The record is from RNAcentral. Lineage: Bacteria; Bacillati; Actinomycetota; Actinomycetes; Micrococcales; Microbacteriaceae. RNAcentral also lists the same sequence under 1 other name.